Molecule: unclassified non-coding RNA, 309 nt
Filed under: Hevea brasiliensis (rubber tree)
Lineage: Eukaryota; Viridiplantae; Streptophyta; Magnoliopsida; Malpighiales; Euphorbiaceae
Source: RNAcentral
GUGGAAGGUGGCUCGGGUAUGACUUGGGUAAUAAGCAGGUUAACACAACUGGUGAAAGAUAUUGGACUUUGAAUGAGUAAGAGAAUUCAUCUGAGCUUUCUCUGUUCAUCUUAAAAUCACCAAAUGAAUUAAGCUUAGCAAUUACAAUGAGUUGAGCAGGAGCUUCAAUAUUGAUGUGAAUCUGAAAUGAUCUUAGGCCUUCUUGCCUGUCAACAAUGAGGGCAUUCUCUCCAAAAAUGGACUCCAUAGCAAGCAACUCAUCCUCCUGCAGCUGAUCAUUGGUCCUCAGCUGCUCCUCAGACAAUUCUG